This 452-nucleotide ribosomal RNA is filed under the name uncultured bacterium. RNAcentral's name for it is "bacterial SSU rRNA". It matches the Rfam family "Bacterial small subunit ribosomal RNA", at positions 349 to 793 of the family's 1533-position model. The record is from RNAcentral.
CAGCAGUGGGGAAUAUUGCACAAUGGGCGCAAGCCUGAUGCAGCCAUGCCGCGUGUAUGAAGAAGGCCUUCGGGUUGUAAAGUACUUUCAGCAGUGAGGAAGGUGGUGUCGUUAAUAGCGGCAUCAUUUGACGUUAGCUGCAGAAGAAGCACCGGCUAACUCCGUGCCAGCAGCCGCGGUAAUACGGAGGGUGCGAGCGUUAAUCGGAAUUACUGGGCGUAAAGCGCAUGCAGGUGGUUUGUUAAGUCAGAUGUGAAAGCCCGGGGCUCAACCUCGGAAUUGCAUUUGAAACUGGCAGACUAGAGUACUGUAGAGGGGGUAGAAUUUCAGGUGUAGCGGUGAAAAUGCGUAGAGAUCUGAAGGAAUACCGGUGGCGAAGGCGGCCCCCUGGACAGAUACUGACACUCAGAUGCGAAAGCGUGGGGAGCAAACAGGAUUAGAUACCCUGGUAG